This is a long non-coding RNA of Eriocheir sinensis (Chinese mitten crab), 2354 nucleotides long. RefSeq lists it as uncharacterized. The transcript is spliced from 4 exons. The record is from RefSeq and is a predicted model, not a curated record. NCBI's taxonomy places the organism in Eukaryota, Metazoa, Arthropoda, Malacostraca, Decapoda, Varunidae.
GGGACGGGGAGUCUAGAGCAGCGGACCAUGGGCUAAUAUUUACUUUAUGAAAAAAAAAAAAAAAAAAAAAAAAAUAUCAACAUUAUUACCCCGCGGGCUUCGGCGAUGGGAAAGCCGAGAGGUGGCCGAGAAACAUCAAUAUUACACUGCAUUUUGAGACUAAGAAAAGAGCAUGGAACGUAUAUCAGAGUGCUCCUCUCAUAACCACAAAGCCAUUAAAAAAAUUCAACUUUACUCAAACUCCGUUCUUUGGCAUCUAGCCGAGAGUCGCUUGUUGUCUACUUUAGAGAAUUUGACAAGUGCUUACUGUAUGGAUAGCUAUUUCAGUCUGCCAUGACCUUACAGCACCACCUAUGACAUAAAAGCCCACCUCAAGAUCACUCACCCACCACAAUGACCCAGGGCAUGCAUGGUGGGUUGCUCUAUGCCACCACCUACAAUUAGCCCGAAUUAGGUGUUUUGAGCCGAAGUUGCCAGGUUAACUUAGGUUUUCUAUGUCUACUCAGGCUUACCAUUGUUAAUUAAAUAUGUGAGGGAAUUUUAUCUGUAUAUGCAAGGGGGGGAUGGAAGGGAGGAUCCAUUCUUAGGGGGGGUAUUGAAAAGUAAGGGCUUGAUAGUGUACGGGUGGGCAGGAACGGGGUAAUCUAUGUGUCAGUAAAUGGAGGGGAAGAAGAGAUUACAGGGGAAGGGAAGGGGAGAAGGAAAGAAGGGAAGCAGAGGAAGGGUAAGGAAAGGAAAGGGGAGAUGAGUGGGAGCAGAUGAAUGGCAGGGGAAGGAAGGGAGAGGAAGAUAAGGGAAGGGAAGGGAGAGAAGGAAGGGUAGGGAAAGGAAAGGGAAAUGGGAUAAGAAAGGGGAGAUGAGAGGAAGCAGAGGAAUGGCAGGGGAAGGAAGGGAGAGGAAGAUAAGGGAAGGGAAGUGAGGGAAAGAAGGGUAGAGGAAGGGUUAGAUUAGGGAGGAUAGGGAAAGGAGAAAGAGAUAAGGGAGGGAAAGGGAUAAGAAGGGGAGGGGAAGGAGGAGGUAAGAAAGGAAGGGAAGAGAAAGGGAAGGGAAGCAGAGAAGUGAUGGGGGAAGGGAUAACAUAAAAAAGAGAGAGGGAGAGAAGGAAAAGGAAGGGAUAAAGUUAACAGAGAGAAGGAAGGAAGGAAGGAAGGAAGGUUAGGUUAGACCUUUAAGGGAGACAAUAGAGAUAAGGAAGGAAGGAAGGUUAGGUUAAACUAGGUUAGGGGAGAUUAUACAGGUUAACUAAGGUCCUGUAUCUCUAUAAAAAGGGAGAUUAUACAGGUCAACUAAGGUCCUGUAUCUCUAUAAAAAGGGAGAUUAUACAGGUUAACUAAGGUCCUGUAUCUCUAUAAAAAGGGAGAUUAUACAGGUUAACUAAGGUCCUGUAUCUAUAAAAAAAAGGGAGAUUAUACAGGUUAACUAAGGUCCUGUAUCUAUAAAAAGGGAGAUUAUACAGGUUAACUAAGGUCCUGUAUCUCUAUAAAAAGGGAGAUUAUACAGGUUAACUAAGGUCCUGUAUCUCUGUAAAAAGGGAGAUUAUACAGGUUAACUAAGGUCCUGUAUCUCUAUAAAAAGGGAGAUUAUACAGGUUAACUAAGGUCCUGUAUCUAUAAAAAGGGAGAUUAUACAGGUUAACUAAGGUCCUGUAUCUCUAUAAAAAGGGAGAUUAUACAGGUUAACUAAGGUCCUGUAUCUGUGUAAAAAGGGAGAUUAUACAGGUUAACUAAGGUCCUGUAUCUCUAUAAAAAGGGAGAUUAUACAGGUUAACUAAGGUCCUGUAUCUCUAUAAAAAGGGAGAUUAUACAGGUUAACUAAGGUCCUGUAUCUGUGUAAAAAGGGAGAUUAUACAGGUUAACUAAGGUCCUGUAUCUCUAUAAAAAGGGAGAUUAUACAGGUUAACUAAGGUCCUGUAUCUCUAUAAAAAGGGAGACUGUACAGGUUAACUAAGGUCCUGUAUCUCUAUAAAAAGGGAGACUAUACAGGUCAACUAAGGUCCUGUAUCUCUAUAAAAAGGGAGACUAUACAGGUUAACUAAGGUCCUGUAUCUCUAUAAAAAGGGAGACUAUACAGGUUAACUAAGGUCCUGUAUCUCCCUCCCUUCCUCCCUCCCUCACCAAACACUGCAGCAAAGGACGAAAGAAAUGGAAAGAAGGGAGACUAUAAAAAGGGAGAUAGGGGAGAAAAGGGAGAUUAUACAAGUUAACUAAGGUCCUGUAUCUCCCUCCCUUCCUCCCUCCCUCACCAAACACUGCAGCAAAGGACAAAAGAAAUGGAAAGAAGGGAGACUAUAAAAAGGGAAAUAGGGGAGAAAAGGGAGAUUAUACAAGUUAACUAAGGUCCUGUAUCUCCCUCCC